CGACCUGGGGAUCGAGCUGGAGGGGUCUCGGGAGCGUGCAAAGACCUCUAGCUCGAGCGCGAGGGACCGCUCGCCAGGAUGCCUGGAGAGCAGAUGGACCCUACUGGAAGUCAGUUGGAUUCAGAUUUCUCUCAGCAAGACACUCCUUGCCUGAUAAUUGAAGAUUCUCAGCCUGAAAGCCAGGUUCUUGAAGAUGAUUCUGGUUCUCACUUCAGUAUGCUAUCUCGACACCUUCCUAAUCUGCAGAUGCACAAAGAGAACCCUGUGUUGGAUGUUGUGUCCAAUCCAGAACAAACAGCUGCAGAAGAACAAGGAGACAGUAAUAGGGGGUUCAAUGAACAUUUGAAAGAAAACAAGGCUGCAGACCCUGUGGAUUCUCAUUUGGAUACAUGUGGUUCCAUCAGUCAGGUCAUUGAGCAGUUACCUCAGCCAAACAGGACAAGCAGUGUCUUGGGAAAGUCAGUGGAAUCUGCUCCUGCUGUGGGGGAUGAGAAGGAGGAAGAGUUGGAAGAAAAGGAGAAAGAGGAGGUGGAAGAAGGUCCAGACGAUGCUGUACCCUCCCUCAAUGCAGAAGAUCCUGCCUCAUCACAGUUGGGCUUUGGGGUUCUGGAACUCUCCCAGAGCCAGGAUAUUGAAGAACAUCCUGUGCCAUUUGAAGUGGACAAAGAGCAUCUGCAGCCAGUUACCAGCAACUCUGGUGACACUAGGCUGUCUGAUAUGGAUGCAGAUACUGUUAAGGAUGAAGAACUGUCCAGUGAAGAUAUCCCCAUGGCAGAACAGCCCAGCAAAAACAUCCCCAUGACAGCACAGCCCAGUAAAAGUGUGCAUGUGGUAGAAGAACAAGAGCUACCACCUGCAAGGUCAGAAGACAUGCCUUCCAGUCCCAAAGUGUCUCUUGUUCCUGUGGAAACAAAAGAACAGAUGUGUGCGCAAGAGCUUCUGGAAGGUGGACUGCAGAUUCAGAAGUCCUCAGAGCCUGAGGUUUUGUCAACUCAGGAAGACUUAUUUGACCAGAGCAAUAAAACAGCUUCUGAUGGUUGUUCUACUCCUUCAAGGGAAGAAGGUGGGUGUUCUGUGGCUUCCACACCUGCUACCACCCUCCACCUCCUCCAGCUGUCUGGUCAGAGGUCCCUUGUUCAGGAGAGUCUUUCCACGAAUUCGUCAGAUCUUGUUGCUCCUUCCCCUGAUGUUUUCCGGUCUACCCCUUUUAUCGUUCCUAGCAGUCCCACAGAAGAAGAUGGGAGAAAAGAUGAACCAAUGGAUAUGUCAGUAUUAUCUGAAGCAGGAGGUGAGCCUUUUCAACAGAAGCUUCAAAGUAAUGAAACAGUAGAAAUAGAAAACCCACCUCUCCCAGCUGGGCCCACCAUAUCACCACAAGCCUCAACACCAGUGUCUCAGAGCACACCAGUCUUCACUCCUGGGUUGCUUUCUAUCCCAUCCCAGCCUGAGUUUUCUCAUGAUAUUUUCAUUCCAUCACCAAGUUUGGAAGAACGACCAAACGAUGGGAAGAAAGUGAAGAUUUGCAUAGCUCAUCCUUCACUGUUGAGUGUUCUAAAACUGCAGAGAUUGAACCAAAGAAUUCCUCUGGGAUCUUGGGCUCUCUUUGACAGGGGAUUCUUGCAAGUUGAUGCUUUCUACAAGUGAGUAUAGUCAGUCCCCAAAGAUGGAGAGCUUGAGUUCUCAUAGGAUGGAUGAAGAUGGAGAAAACACUCAGAUUGAGGAUACUGAACCCUUGUCUCCAGUUCUCAAUUCUCAGCUUGUUCCUGCUGAAAAUGAUGGUGUCUUAAUGAAUCCAGCACAACAUGGCCAAGUAGAACUGAGUCAGAAUGAUGACAAAACAAAAGGAGAUGACACAGAAAGUAGAGAUGACAUUAGUAUUUUAGCCACUGGUUGCAAAGGCAGAGAAGAAACUGUAGCAGAUGAUGUCUGUAUUGAUCUCACUUGUGAUUCAGGGAGUCAGGCAGUUCCUUCUCCAGCUACUCGAUCUGAGGCUCUUUCUAGUGUCUUAGAUCAGGAGGAAGCUAUGGAAAUUAAAGAACACCAUCCAGAGGAGGGUCUUCAGGGUCUGAGAUUAGAAGAAAUCCCUGAGACUCCUUGUGAAAAGUCAUGGAGAGGAGUCAAAAGAAGAAAGUUUGGAGAGUGUUCCAUUGCAUCUUUCUUUGACUGAAACUCAAUCCAGGGCUGUGUCUUCGAAAGGACAUCCCCAAACAAGAAUGCCCAGAGGCUAUGGAAGUUGAAACCAGUGUAAUCAGUAUCACUUCUCCCCAGAAGCUUCCAUACUUGACCAAGAAUUAGAACACAAGGAUCCAGAAGCUUGGGAAGAAGCUACUUCAGAGGAUUCAAGUGUUGUCAUUGUAGAUGUGAAGGUGCCAUCUCCUAGAGGUGAUGUUUCUUGUGAACCUUUGAAGGAGUGGAGAAAGGCUCAGAUUCCCAGUCGUGGGAGGAUGUUGCUCCAGAAUAGAACCAUGUGCUGAAGAAUAGACUAGAUCCCAGGAAGAAAAGAAUAUAGAUUAUGAGGGAAAUCUGAAAUCGUGACAGUGGAAACGGAAUCCGUAGAGGAAAAUGCUCCACAGCGUCCCUUGCCUGAAGCGAGAGCAGAGAACCUCCCAUACCUGACCAGGAGAUGCAGCAGCCCCAGCUGCAGGAGAAAGCAGAGAACUCAUUAACAGAAGACUUAAAAGUGGCCAAUGCCACACAGCUGGACUCAGGUGUAGCAGCCCAGCAGCUGGAGAAGGUCCCUGCCCGUGUCUCACAAAGCUUCUGUGAAAGCUCUAGUG
This is a non-coding RNA of Castor canadensis (American beaver), 2777 nucleotides long. NCBI's taxonomy places the organism in Eukaryota, Metazoa, Chordata, Mammalia, Rodentia, Castoridae. The record is from RefSeq and is a predicted model, not a curated record.